Long non-coding RNA from Cucurbita pepo subsp. pepo (vegetable marrow), 630 nucleotides. RefSeq lists it as uncharacterized. The record is from RefSeq and is a predicted model, not a curated record. NCBI's taxonomy places the organism in Eukaryota, Viridiplantae, Streptophyta, Magnoliopsida, Cucurbitales, Cucurbitaceae.
UUGAUUAAACAACGACAAACCGGAAGUUAUGCCGACGGUUCAACCGAACCGUCGGCAAUUCCCUUGGCCUUAGCCGUUUUUUUGCCCUAAAAUUGAAAUUGCCCCACGCCGACCCCUCUCUUCCCGUGCCUCUUCUUUCUUCCCUUCGAGGCACCGUCCUAGCCCUCUCCUGCAGCCCCGCCGCCGUCGAUCGACCACCUCGCAUCGCCGGUCGCUUGCCUCGCCGCUGCGCCUACAUAUUUGUUCCUUCGUCAUUGGCCACCCGCACGGCCUCUAACCACUUCUUCCUUCGCUGUGGGUCGUGUCAGGUUGGGUCGAUAUUAUUUUCGAAAGCUACUUUUGAAGAAGAUAACAUGAAGACAACAAUAUCCGAAGAUGUCGACACCAUUUUCGUUAGCUUGCAUAUCUAGUAAAUGUGGACGCCGCCCCCUACUGCUGGCAAUGGUAAUACAGACGAGGUUGUGUCGAUGUUGUUUUGACAGCUUUUCGUGCGUUGAGAAAAUCCUUUUAUGAUGCUUUUCCGACCUUUUUCGACACUUCUUUUGGCAUCUGAAAAAAGAAAUCCGAUAUUAUUGUUAACUAAAUAUGUUACAGUUAAUUCGAAGUUACCUCUUUUUUUUUUUUUUUUAA